GCCCGGCUAGCUCAGUCGGUAGAGCAUGAGACUCUUAAGGUAGAGCAUGAGACUCUUAAUCUCAGGGUCGCGGGUUCGAGCCCCACGUUGGGCG
Paramuricea clavata is the source of this 94-nucleotide non-coding RNA. NCBI's taxonomy places the organism in Eukaryota, Metazoa, Cnidaria, Anthozoa, Malacalcyonacea, Plexauridae. The record is from the annotation of a GenBank genome assembly.